ACCAGUCUCACCCUUUAGAUGCUUCAACAAUUCAACCCGACCCGUCAGCAUUUACUGUAAUUUCGUAUCUGCUCGAAAUUCUUUAUCCUCCAGUUCAAAUUUUGACCUUCGUUUCCACUAGGACUUUGCUUCUUCCGAAUUUGAACACGAUUGUACUCUUAAAACUGCGGCAAUUAUUGUUUUAGCAGCUCGGUUCAAUAGAGAUGGCAAUUAUUGUUUGAGCUGCGGCGAAGACCGUACCAUCCGCCUAUGGAAAGUUCCGGCAACUGUUUUACUGGAAUCUGUCAACUGGUCUUGUUAUUCGAAAGUUCCGUGGCCAUGAUACCGAGUUAAAUUUAAUGAGUAUGCAUCUGUCGUUGUAUCAGCAGGCUAUGAUCGUUCAUUGCGGGCAUGUGAUAGCAGACCACAUAGCACUGGGCCUAUUCAGAUUAUUGCACAGGGUAAUGUCUGUUUGUAUGACAAAAACUGAAGUUAUUGUUGGAAGUGUUGAUGGAACUCUGCACACAUUUGACAGCCGUAUUGGUAGAGAAUUACCUGAUAACUUGGGGCAACCUGUCACCUGUAUCUCAAUGACAAAUGAUGGUAACUGCAUAUAGGCCAGAUGCUUAGAUUCUACCUUAUGUCUCCUGUACAGGUAUGUUCGUUCAGUUGCUUAAGGACUUUCUGAAUACUUAUCUGGAAUUGCCUGUCAUUUUUACAAGAAUAUAAAAGCCAUAUUUGCAAGUCUUUCAAACAAAUUAUUGUCUUACCAACUCUGAUGCUCAUGUAACUGGUGGAUCUGAAGAUGGGUAUAUAUUCUUCUGGGAUCUGGUAGAUGCUUCUGUCGUAUCAAUAUUCCAAGCUCAUUCUUUAGUGGUAAAUCUUUCUUCCCUUUUAAUUCUUGUAAUUUGGUAUCAAUAAGUCUGGAGCCAUGCCCCCUCAGUCUGAGUUUCUGCUAGGUCUGUAAUGCAUAAUUUAAGGAAAGAAGUCGGAUACCCCUUAUGUCAAAUUAUAAAAUACAUUUUUAUGGUUUAAGAGAUUUCCAGACAUUGCCUGUGCAUUCUUUUCUCAAGAUUCUAAGUUCAUUAGAAUUUAAGUGUCAGGCUAUUAAUGAAUAACACUUCUUAGGCGGAAUCUUUUGUGAACUUCUGUCUGAUAUCUUGUUAAACCUAAAUUUGGAGUUUCCUAGUAGAAUUCAGUGAAAAAGGGAACUUUAUAGGUUUCUCAAAUAAAUGGUAAAAAUAUAAAGCCGUUCCAAUUACACUACAGGUUACAUGUACAAUAAUUAAACAUUGAAGCAAUGAGGCAUCAAAGUGCCUAUAGUUUAGAGGUAAGAAUUCCACAUUGUGGCUGUGGAGACCUGGGCUUGAAUCCCAGCAGCCACAUUUGUGUGUUCCGACCUUAGCUCAGUUGGUAGAGCGGAGGAUUGUAGUGGGCUGGAACCUUUAGCCAUCCUUAGGUCACUGGUUCGAAUCUGGCAUUUCCCUUUUUCAUUUGAUACAAAUUCAUCAUUAAUUAACAAUUAUACCAUUUAAUUAUUGUAUCAAAAACCAAAAUGCAUUUUAGAAGGAUUUUAUAUGGAGUAGACAAUUUUAUUAUCAAUUAUUGUUUAGACUAUGGAGUAUACCAUAUUUUUUUUUUCAAUAGAUUUUCAUCUACAACGUGAGACUUCCAACUAGGGAUGACAAUGGGGAGGGGAGGGGCGGGGACGGGAUAUCAAUUCCCGUAUCCGUCCCGUCCCAUCCUGUCCCCGUCCCCGUUAUGGGGAUAACAAAGAAACCCCGUCUCCUCCCCAUCUCUAUCUCGUCCUCGUGGAGAAAAAUCUCCUCCCUAUCCCCGACCCGUCCCCGCGGGGAAAAAUCCCCUCCCCAUACCCGCAAAUAUAAAUUUUAAUUCCUUUAUGUUGCAUACCUGUUCAGGCCAAGGUUUCUCCUGCUCCAGUUUCAAUUCCUCUUGGCAAAAUAAAUGGAAGAAAUGGAACCUGCAAUAUUCAUGGCCUCAGCUGGCAGCAUUCAUUCUGUAUAAUUUGUACUCAAUCAAAUAAAAUAGAUUCAAUCCAGUCAAUAGAAAUUGCAAUCCAUCCCAUUCAUUCAUUCAUCAAGGCAAAUGUUUACACCAAAUGCUUCACAACUAAACUCAGAGCAAUGAGACAGAGCAAUAAAACUAAAAGGAAAUGAACUUGAACAAAGUAAAUAGACACUGCUAAUUCUGGAAUUUGAGAGCCAGACCCCUCUUUCUUCUUAAACAAACUUCAGUACAUCAUUCUUAUAAAAACCAAGCUGCCUUCUCCUUUUUCUGCUGCCCUAUAAAAGCAUGAGUUUUCCUUAACCGAAUUCUGCCUUCUGCCCACUCAUAGGCUGCCAAGUGGUCUCAACUGAAUGGCCAGGCUCAUUCUGUUCCAGAUCAGCUUCUGUAAUUCCCAGAUUACCCUCCAUCAUGUUAAUCCUUGAUUCUUCAGUUGAGAGUUUCAUCCUUUCUUCUGAAUCUGGGUCUGUUUCCUCUAUUCUCUUUUUGGGCCUGCGGAAAUAAACUUUGGUAAUUAGGCCUCUAUCAAUACCCCCCCUACGGAGACGCACCUUGUCCUUAAGGUGAAAUUCGAGAAAGCGAUCCCGUAGGGCGAUGUAAUCCUCCCAAGAGUUCUCACAGUCCGAAAUAGAGUGCCAUUUGAUGAGGACUUGUAGGUGACCAGUUUUUGAAUAACGAGUAUCCAAUAAAGCUUCCGACUGUAAUUGCAAUUCCAAGUCCCCCGAAAGGCAGCCAGACAGAGGUUGUGGCUGUAUAGCAACCCCUAGGACCCUUUUUAACUGUGACACAUGGAAAACCGGAUGGAUUUUACUCGUGGAAGGUAAAGCAAGACGGUAGGCAACCGAACCAAUCUUUUCAAUGAUGACAUAAGGACCAUAAAAACGAAGGCUCAAUUUUUCAUUGAGCUUCUUAGCAAGAGUCUUGAAACGAUAAGGCUGAAUUUUAAGGAAUACUUGCUCACCAACUUCAAAGUGGAGCUCACGACGUUUCAAAUCGGCUUGACGUUUCAUCCUAUCUUGGGCUUUAUGGAGCUGCUGUUUCAACUCAAGCAGAAUGGCAUCUCUUUGCUAUAGAAAAGCGCCAACCUCAUCAAUUUUGGAGGCUUCGGAACCCCACCGAAAGAGCGUCGGGGGGUCUCUCCCAUAUAAAGCCUUAAAAGGAGUCAUUCCAAGAGAACUAUGGAAGGUGGUAUUAUACCAAUACUCCGCCCAAGUGAUCCAUUUAGCCCAAUCCUUUGGUUGUUGAGAACAAAAGUAUCGAAGAUAUGUUUCAAGGCCACGGUUGACAAUUUCAGUUUGACCGUCAAAUUGUGGAUGAUAUGCACUGCUAAACUUGAGGUUAGUACCCACGGAACGAAAGAGCUCCCCCCAGAAUUGACUCAUAAAUAGGUGAUCGCGAUCCGACACGAUCGAACGAGGGUAACCAUGAAGCCUAACUAUCUCUUUACCAAAUAAGGCAGCCACCUCUUUGGCCAUAUAAGGGUGGGAAAGCACUAGGAAAUGGCUAUAUUUGGUCAAUCGGUCCACUACCACCAAAAUGGUAUCACCCUUUUUUGUUCUUGGAAGACCCCCAAUGAAGUCCAUAGAUAUGUCCUCCCAAACUUUAUCAGGGAUUGGAAGAGGUUGUAAGAGGCCUGCAGGGCUCAUGGCUUGAUACUUAUUCCUUUGGCAAGUUUCAUAGUGGGCUACAAAGUCUCUAAUACAUUUUUUCAUCCCAAUCCAAUAAAAAACUGCUGCUAUUUUCUUGUAAGUACGGAAAAACCCUGAAUGGCCGCCGAAAGGUGAAGAAUGAAAUUCACGAAGCAAGGCUGGAAGAAAGGUAGAAGAUGAAAGCAACACUAACCUAUUUUUAUAAAAGAGAGUCUCAUUUCUCAAGAAGAAUUUGGUGUGGCUGGAAGGGUCUUUCAGUAAAUCUUGGAUGAUUCGUUUAUAUUGGUCGUUAGAGCGGACUUUCUGAUCAAGCACUGCACCCUCCAUCCAGUGGCCGGCUGAGAUAGAAGCUAGAGUAAGAGAUGCUGCAGGAAGUCUGGAUAGAGCAUCAGCCACCUUAUUCUCCAGGCCAGGUCUGUAUUAAAUCUCAAAGUCAAAGCCCAAAAGUUUCAUUACCCAGCGUUGUUGAUCUCCAUUAAUAAUAGUUUGUUCCAUCAAGUGCUUCAAACUUUUCUGAUCAGUUCAAACAAUAAAAUGCCGUCCCAACAAAUAAUGACGCCACUUUUGCAAGGCCAUCACAAUUGCCAUCAACUCUCGUUCAUAGACGGACUUCACUUGAUUUCUAGGGGAGAGGGCCUGACUCAUAAAGGAAAUGGGUCUGCCCUUCUGCAUAAGGACAGCUCCAAUGCCUGUGGAAGAAGCGUCCAUCUCGACCAGAAAAAACUGAUUAAAAUCUGGCAUGGCAAGGACUGGAACAGUAGUCAUUGCAGUUUUCAGUCUCUCAAAUGCAGCAGUGGAUUUAUCACCCCAAUGGAAAGAAUUCUUUUUCAAAAGUUGUGUCAAUGGAGCUGCAAUUUGUCCAUAAUGGCGCACGAAGCGGCGAUAAUACCCUGUAAGGCCCAAGAAUCCCCGUAGCUGACUAAUGUCUCGUGGUUGCGGUCAAUCAAGCAUACAAUGAAUUUUUUGGGGAUCGACAGCCACUCCGUCAGCUGAAAUAAUGUGACCCAAAUAUUCCAAGCGAGAGACCCCAAAAGAACAUUUUUUCUGGUUUAAAAGAAACUGAUAAUCUGAAAGCAACUGGAGGGCUAAACUCAAAUGAUCCAAGUGAGCAGUUAAAUUUCUACUGUAAAUUAAAAUAUCAUCAAAGAAAACAAGGAUGAACUGCCGUAAAUGGGCCCUAAAGACUUCAUUCAUUAGGGCCUGAAAUGUGGCAGGGGCAUUGGACAGCCCAAAGGGCAUUACUAGAAAUUGAUAAUGGCCGUUAUGAGUCCGAAAGGCUGUUUUCUCAACAUCCGAAUCAAUAAUUCUGAUUUGGUGGUAUCCAGAUUUCAGGUCAAGUUUAGUAAAGAUGGUAGCACCAGAUAACUCAUCCAACAACUCAUCAAUAACAAGGAUAGGAAACUUAUCUGAAACUGUAAUUUUGUUGAGGGUGCGAUAGUCAACGCAGAAACGUCAUCCACCGUCUUUCUUUUGGACCAGAAGAACAGGACUGGAAAACGGGCUGUGGCUUGGUUGGAUAAUUCCAGCGUGAAGCAUUUCCCUGAUUUGGCGGUCAAUUUCAUUCUUCUGGUGGUGAGGAUAGCGAUACGGCCUAACAUUCGACGGUGCGACUCCAUCAAACAAACGAAUGGCAUGAUCAUGUGUCCGGCGUGGCGAUAACCCGAUGGGCUUCUCAAAUAAAUGCUGAAAAUUUACCAAAAUUCGCUGAACUGCUUCUAGAGACUCUUCUGAAAUAGUUUAUGAGGCAGCCAACUGAAUCCAAUAGCAAUGGGUACCCAUUUUAAGAGAUUUCGAAACUGCCUUAUGAGAAGUUUCUUGGGUGACUAAUGAAGGAUCCCCUUGAAGUGUAAUUUUCCGCCCUUUCCAGUGAAAAAUCAUAGUGAGGUUCUACCAAUUAUUUUUAAUAACGCCCAAGGUUGUCAGUCAAUCCACGCCAAGAAUGACAUCAACGUUGCCCAAUGGAAAGAAAAAGUAUUCAUGAAUAAAUUGCAUCUCUGGUAACAGUAGCUCAACCCUUGGACACUUCUCUCCGUCGGAGACCGUACUGCCAUUUUCGAUGACCACCUGGAAGGUUGCUAGUGAGCAUGGAAACUGUAAUUGGUUGACCAAUUGUUGAGAAAUGAAGUUGUGGGAGGCACCAGAGUCCACCAGAAUGACGACAAAGGAAUUGUGAAUCUUGCCCAAAAACUUCAGUGUUUUGGGGGUACUGAUACCAGCAACAGAGUGACAGGAAAGCUCCAUUUUCUCACCGUGUCUGAGCUUGAGUUGGUUGUCUUCUUUCGGAAUUUUCGUUGUGUCCUGUUCAUCUUCAUCGUAGAGCAUCAAACGGAGUUGUUUGAAGGGGCACUGAUGGUUGGGUUCGAAUUUGCCUGCACACUUGAAGCACAAGCCUUGAGCUAUGCGGGUCUGGAUUUCAGAUUGAGAGAGUUAGGGGUACUCUGGUCUGGAAGCUAGGUUAGGGCGUCGGUUGAAGGAGUGGAGCUUAGUAGAAGAAGAAAGCGGUGGCGGAUUUGGAGUGGUCGAGUGGCAGCGUUCAUCAACCAGUGGAGGAAGUGGUGGAGCGCUGGAAGGAAACACUGUCACCGGAGAGGAAUUUAGGGCUGAAAUAUUAGAGGAGUGUGAAUGCGAAAAAGACGAGCGUGAGGGUGGGAAAUUAUGGUCGGAGUCGGGUCGCUGGAAUGGGUAUGGGUCAGGCUGAUGGGCGGGCUUAUGGGUUGAGUUGGAAUGGAUGGGUUGUGUUGGAGCAGUUUGGGUGGAUGAAUGAUAUUGUGGGCUGGUAAGGCUCAAAGGUGAUGCGGUGGGAAAAGAGUUUAGGUUGGUGUGGUUAGUAGUUGGGCUGGUGAGGGAAUGUUGCGUUUGGCUGUAUAAUGGGCUUGGGUUGGGUUAGGUUGGGUGUUGGGGGUGGAUACAGAGUGAUUGGGGUGUGUAUUUGGAUAUGGGCUUCCGCCUCUUACAAGGGCUUGGGCUGCCCCAGUUGGAUCCGAGUUCCAUUUCGACCUGUGCACAACCCAAUCUCGUUCUUCUAUAUCUGCCGCCAGCUGCAUCAAGAUGAAAAGGUCCACCGGUGCCUGGAGACGUAGCUCGGCCUGUAUUCGGUGUUUCAGACAGGCGGUGAAAGCUCUUAGCACCCACUCUGCUGGUGCCGAUAGAAGCAUUGCCACCAGUUGCUUGAAACGAGCCCUAUACUCAGCCACCGUUCCCGUUUGCCUGUGUAAUAUGAUUUGUUCAUGCGGCGUCCGGUGUUGGGACGAACCAAACCGAAGGAGUAGCUCCUCCUUCAACUCUCUCCACUCCCGGAAUGGCCGCCAAAGCUCCCUAAACUGAAACCAACUCAACGCCUCUCCUUCCAAGCAAAAUAUCACUGCCGCCAAAUGUUCUCGUUUGUCCAUGUCGUUCAUUUUGAAAUAGCACUCGACCUUGGCUGCCCACCCCCAUGAGUCCACUCCACUGAACAGAGGUAUUUCCAAUUUACGGUGAUACUGGUCACGACGAUUCGUCGUCUCGGUAACAGCAUAACAUGGUGGUCGCUAAUUUCUGGACGAUUCUCCAAACACUACACCGUUGUUGUGAUGGUAUGGAGGUUGUUGUGGUGGGGGUAUCGGCUGUUGAAACCCCAGGUUCCCUCCAUUUGGUAUCCUCUCCGGGGAAUACGGCGAUGGUUCUUGGAUGACGGUGGGUGAUAUUGUCACUGUUUCACUCUCCUUACCCUUCAUAUCUUUAAGCAAUAACUGUCUUAUCUCAUGUAAGUUUUCGUCCAGUUUAUCGAAUCGGGAAGCUAUGUGUUGUUCAGCUUUCAUGAAUUUGUCAUACGUGAUGGCUACUUUCUCCAUUAGGUUCUUAAGGUUUUCUUCUAAAUCUUUCACUCUCCCUUCCAUUCUGGUUUUUACCAUAACCCAGCACCAACGGCUCUGAUACCAAGUUUGUUGCGCCCCUGUUCAAGCCAAGGUUUCUCCUGCUCCAGUUUCAAUUCCUCUUAGCAAAAUAAAUGGAAGAAAUGGAACCUGCAAUAUUCAUGGCCUCAGCAGGCAGCAUUCAUUCUGUAUAAUUUGUACUCAAUCAAAUAAAAUAGAUUCAAUCCAG
Mangifera indica (mango) is the source of this 7733-nucleotide long non-coding RNA. RefSeq lists it as uncharacterized. Lineage: Eukaryota; Viridiplantae; Streptophyta; Magnoliopsida; Sapindales; Anacardiaceae. The transcript has 5 exons. The record is from RefSeq and is a predicted model, not a curated record.